RNAcentral lists this long non-coding RNA (9445 nucleotides) under Brassica napus (rape). Its description in RNAcentral is "long non-coding RNA (BNAP_LNC018388)". The record is from RNAcentral. Lineage: Eukaryota; Viridiplantae; Streptophyta; Magnoliopsida; Brassicales; Brassicaceae.
CCAACUCUGAUGGAAUCAAAGAAGCAGUCAACACAGCUCAACUAGUCACAACAACCGCCAGAUCAAUUAGCGGUUAGCACAGCUCAGCCAGCCACAUCAAUAACCACUCAAGGAAGCUCAACCUCGGGAGUAACUAAUGUAUACAAGCUAAGCAAAGCCGAGCUCAAACGCUACCAAUUGACACGCAUUGAGGAACCAGAAGAACACAUUGAUCCAGACUACUUGCGUUAUUUGAAAGCAAUAGGUGCGUACGACUCAUCUCAACCGCAGUCAGAACGAGGAAAGGAUCAGGGUCGUGAACACAUCGACCCAGACUACUUGCAUUAUUUGAGAGCAAUUGGUGCGUACGACUCAAUUCAGCAACAGCCAAAACGAGGAAAUGGUUGUGGUCGUGAGGGUUGACGCUAACACAUCUACCUAAUAUUCCUAAUGUUGUGAUAUUUGUAUCACCACUGCUUCGUAAUGUUUUAUUUGCUUCAGUAUGCUAUUUUGCUUGGUAUGGAUAAUUUGAUUCUCUAUGUUUGAUUUGCUUCAGCACAACAUUUUUUUUGCUUGGUAUGUUGUAUUUCCUUUGUCUGUUAUAUUUGCUUGGUAUGUUUUGAUUCACUAAUGUUGACGCAGCAAUCCAACCAACAAAUGUUUUAUUAUUAAAUAAGAUACACAUAUAAGAAGCAGGCAAUCACACACCUCACCAGGGGUCAAUGCUCUGGAUGGACAAGAUUCAAUUUAAAUGCUCUGCUCAAUCCCUUCCAAGUUAUGUACCGUGUGUGUGAGCGCAACUGGCUUCCAGGUCCGGAUUCUGAUUUGAUGAUGAAAAAGCGUCUCCGCCUCCUGUAUGCUGUGUCUAAAAGCAAAGAAAUCACAGACACGCGAUGUCCAAAAUCGAGUAUCGGCCCCUUUCUCUUCGUCUUCUCCGUCGUCUUCGUUUCAUGCGUUCACCGUUCUGGCUUACUAGCAAUCAAUCCCGUCCCCAGCAAUCAAUCCCCUCUCCAUUUCUAUACACUAUUUGAUCUCAUUAAUGGAACCUUUUGGCUUUCCCAAUCUGAGGUUCUAUAUAGAUCUCGCACUCCACCUCUUAUCUUCACCAAAUCUUAUUCACUCCUCACGAUUAUAGUAUACCCUCUGCGAUGAUGUUAUCCGAUGUUUCCGAGUUAGUGAAAGCGAGCGGUGAAGCUACGUUUCCCUCCGUUCCGGUCAAACCCGUCAAUCAAACCAGUGUCUCUUCCGGCGAUGAAAAAGUCGGCGAUGUCAGUUCCGUGAAAUCAGAAGUUCUCUCUGCGGCCUCCUCCGGUCCGAGCAAGUCAAUCGGCAAAGCCGGUGUUUCUGCCGGCCUCAACAUCGGCGCUAAGUACAAAGCCUUUGUCUCUUCCCGCGAUAAAGGCAAGGCUAUCGUUGGGAAGGCGAUCACCUUCAGAGACGUGACGUUCGGGCCAUAUGACGGCGAGAUACGGUUUCUUCUGAUCCAUUUGUGGGAGGUUUGGAAUGUUCAGACGAAGGUGCUUAUUGGCCUCGAGAUGAUCCUCAUCGAUGAAGAGGUAGAAACCGAUAUCUUUUUGCAAUUAUAGUUUAUGCAAUUUUUUGUUUAUCAGCGGUUUAAACCAAAUAUUUUCUAUAAAUGUCUUAUUAUAUCUGAACAACAUCCAGCACCCUAAUAACUAAGUUGUUGUUAGCAUCAUCAUGAUUAUAUUUUUGUGGGUUAGAUGUAUAAGUAAAUUUUGUUUCGACUCAAGUUAUCUUGGCUAGCUUCUCUAACUACUUCUCUUUUGUAACAGGAAAAUGUUAUCCAGGGUUUCAUCCCUAAUGGAAGGAUUGAGACUUACUUGCGUCACAUGAAGGCCGUUGGUACUUACCGCCUCAACAAGUUUUUUGGAUCAAAGAGCAAGCCUAUUUAUCGGGUAGCUGAACCAGAUGUCACCAUUAGCUUCUCAUGGAACUCUGUCCUCUAUAAUCUCGAGGACAGUUCCAUUAACUUCCCUGAGGAUCGGUUCCGGAUCCAUGGUUACAGAGAAUUCGAGGCUGCCUCUGAUCAAAGAGGUGAUCUUUAUGGUAAGUUCUCACCAGCUUUAAUCCACAUAGAUGUUUUAAUUGAUUCUAGAGUGUUGCCUAGGAUAGUGUUUUCAUACAGACUCAGAAAUUUAGGUUUUAUUGCUUGGGUUUAUAAGAUAUAAAACAUUGAUUUUUAUUGUCUUCUUUGCAGAUUAUAUAGGUCAUAUCAAACUUGUGAAUGGGCAGGUUCUCAGUGACGGUCCUCUUCUUGAUGAAACAGAGAUAGUUGCAUCCCGCCGAGUUGAACUUCAUGUUCAAACACAUGAGUGAGUUGUUAUCUAGCUUCUUCAGCAUACACAUAUGGUUUAUCUUACCGAAUGGUUUGUGUUGUUACAGCGACCCCGUUCUGAAGUUGUACCUCUGGGACAAGGCUGCCNNNNNNNNNNNNNNNNNNNNNNNNNNNNNNNNNNNNNNNNNNNNNNNNNNNNNNNNNNNNNNNNNNNNNNNNNNNNNNNNNNNNNNNNNNNNNNNNNNNNNNNNNNNNNNNNNNNNNNNNNNNNNNNNNNNNNNNNNNNNNNNNNNNNNNNNNNNNNNNAGAGGAGGAAUCAAGGCAAAAGUUGAAGGUUUGUCUGUUAGCUUGUGUGACAAGUAAUUCGAGUCCUUUCGUAAUCUCAUUUUACUGUUUGGACAAUCUUGACUUGAUUAUCUAAUAUCUGGUUCUCAUUCACUACAGCGAGAUGAACUGACGCAAGUGCAUGAAACCGAACUGUUCGAGCACGUGAGCAAGUUCUUAACCUCAGUGGGCUACGAAGAAAAUCUAUCAUUCGCAGCUGCUACGGCUUGUUGCCAAGGAGCCAAAGUCUUAUCCGGAUGCUCAUCAAACGAGUACUAUUGUCGCGAAACUUCUGUGAAAUGCAUCAAAGGUCAUGGGCCUUCUGGAGUGGAGGAAGCCACAGUUAUAGCCGGAGUUGUGGUUCGUGACGGUAGUGAACAAGAGGUUGACCUAUUGGUGCCGUCGACUCAACCUGUCUCGAAAGGAAGUGAAUAUUAUAGUCCGGAGUCAAAGUAUCCAUCAGGCAGCGAUGCAUUCACCGCGCUUCUGAUGGCUUUACCUCCACAGACAUGGUUUGGAAUCAAAGACCAAGCUCUUCAAACCAAAAUGAAGAAGCUGGUCUCCGUUGGCACCUUCUCGACUAUGCAUCACGAAGAGGUGAGUACCAAAUUUCCACUCUCUAUUACUAGGGCUGUCAAAUAUUCAACUAUCUAUUACUAGGGCUGUCAAAAUGAGUGAUAACUCGUGAACUGGUUCGGCUAUCAAGAAUUAUACGAACAUAUCUUUCAAAGGGAAAUUAAUAUGAGAUUUGCGAAUUCGGGUUACAGGUAUCUCAUCUUAGGAGACAACUUAUAAUGCUAAAGCGAUGCCAAGAGAAGAAGGAAGAGGAAGACCUCACCGCUCCUCUCUCUUAAUUCAAUCUAGUUCCAAUUUCUCAGAACUCUAUAUUUGCAAAGAACAAUGUGGAAUUGUGUGAUAUAUGCAAACCAGGUGUUUAUUAGUUUUUUGUGAACAUUUGUUAGUUUAUGUUUUACUAAUUCAAAAAAUCAGUAUGAUAAAUUUUUAUUUAUACAAAUUCUUUUUGAUUAACAUUUAAUUAUAAAUAAUUUAUUAUCUUAAUUUUCAAUUUUUAUAAUAGAAAAAUAUUAUUUCAAGAUAACAAUACAAUAUAUAAGAUAACAACACAAUAUAAUAAGAAUUAUCUUGUUAUAAUAUAUAUAAGAAUUAUCUUUUUAUAAUAAAAUAUAUUUUUAGAUUUUGGAUAAUUCUUAUUAUUAUUAGUUUUAAUCACUUAUAUUAUUAAAAAAGCAAAUUCGUUUUUAUUUUUUGUUAAUUUAUAUAUUUAAUUUAUUAAGGGUAUAGUCGAUAUUAAUCACUCUAACUUUUAACGUGGAAGCUCUGUUGCUAAAAUUUACUUCGCAAAUAAUAGUAUAGAUUAGUUUAGAAUUUCUCAAGUUUGCCGUGUGAUUUUAGAAUAUGUAUUAGAUGAUUAGUUAGCAUUGCUUAGGACUAAGUUCUUUAACUCAUUCGAUCAAAAACAUAAUAAUUAUAAUUAUAGGUAGACACCCAUGAAUGAUUAAAUACAUUAACUCUUUAUAUAAGCCAAAAAUAGAAAUUUUGCCGAAAAUAAGAACACAUGUUGAUAUCAGGAUUCGAACCCUGGCCAAGAGCUUAUGCAAAGGCUACUCUACCGAUAGACUAAAGACACACAUUGCUAAUAUAUGACAAACGUUAAACAUAUAUAUGACCCGCUCGGGAAGAUUUAAUUGCUUCUUCUUCCUUUUUAAAAAGGGAAAACUCGACCCUUCCUCUUCUAUAUUUCAACUGCCUUUCAAUCCAAUCUCCUCGCCAUGGCUGAUCAAAAUCCUUCUUCCUCUGUUCGAACUAGGAUUCAGAGGUUUAUCGAGAUUGAUCACGCAUAUGGAGAACACUUCCAAUUCCGAUCGCGAGCCCCGUUCAAGUCGUUUGAUGAACGUCUACAAGAAAGUCGAUUCAUAUUCUCCGGGACCGUCCCACCAAUCGGGGGUUACUCUAGGCGUCAUCACAGCCACGAAGCCACCAUCGGGUAUCGCUCUCUUUGUCUCCGUGGUUUUGUGGUUCAAGGUUCUCUAGAUCCUAGGAAUCGUCUUUUAGAGGAUGUCUUUAGGGUUAUUGAUAACAUAGGGUGGUGUUACACGGUGUUGCAUGUGAACCCGUUCUGUCCUAGAGUUGUGAGAGAUUUCAUCUCUAACAAACCAUUCAACAAGGAUGGAGCUCUUAUUCGGGGAUUUGUGUACCGUUUCUCCCCGACGGUGAUCAACCAAUUGAUGAUGACACCGUCUGUUGAACACUCCUUUCAGUGGAAAGAUGUUGUGCUGAAGCAGGCAAUCACACACCUCACCGGGGGUCAAUGCUUUGGAUGGACGGGAUUCAAUCUAAAUGCUCUGCUCAAUCCCUUCCAACUUCUGUACCGUGUGUGUGAGCGUAACUGGCUUCCAGGUCCGGAUUCUGAUUUGAUGAUGAAAAAGCGUCUCCGCCUCCUGUAUGCUGUGUCCAAAUGCAAAGAAAUCGACUUUGGCCAGCUUGUGUACGAACAAGUUAUCGACAUGGCCCGUGUAACAGAUUUGGAGACAGGCUUGAUAUUUCCAAAUCUGAUUUAUCAGCUCUUGGUGCUUCAAAAAGAAGUCCCUCUUUUACCGGGAUAUGAAGAACCUAUUGGAAGAGGUGUCCCCAUCUAUGGCUCAGAAAGUGGAAGGAGUGAAGGAAGUGGUCCGAGGGGACGUAGAAGACUAUGUUAGUGUAAUAGCCAAGUGUUUUUUUUUGUGCAAAGUCCAUCGUUCUCUCAUGAAUGUAGCUAACGUAUGAUCUUUUUGGUAAGUAACAUGUGUCUGGAUCCUCUUCCGAAGGUUGUAAUCACAGUGACAGUUACGUUUUUUUUAUGAUGUCAUUGUAUAAAUGAAAAUGUUGUUUGGUAUGAGAUUAUCUUUUCAGUUGUUUCUAUUACUACUCUUUUUGUUCCACCAUUGUUGAGAUGAAUUUAUUGUUGUUAGAAAGAGAACAUAUUGUUGCUAGAUUCCUGGCUUUGUUAUAAAGAAGCAGUAUGAAGAGGUGCAGAAUCUUGGCUUUGGUCGAUUCUAUACAGUAUGUGUUUGCUGCCAAAUCCCGAGUCAAAACUCUACACAGUCAAAGCAGUUGUACUUGGAGCAACAUAUAAACCCUCGAUGCGAGGAAUAAGAAGAAGUCAUGGCUGAGACUUGAUAUAUUCCUAAAUUAUUUAUGAUUACUUAAGCUAUUCUUUUUGUUUUUAAACAACCCAAUAUACUUGAUUUUUUAGAGUUUUGAAAAAUACGACUCUUUCAUUCCAAACAAUAGGAUUCUUAAUUAUCUGCACUUUUCAUUUUUGGAUAGUUAAAACUACAUCAAGUAUAGCUAUUUUUUUAUAAUGCUAUGAAGACUUUGUUUUUGCUUUAUUUAAAAAUUUGGUUUUAGAUUUUUAUAAUUUAUAUCAUCUAAACAAAAUUAGUAUUUCUAUGGUAUCAAUUUAUUUUAAUAUGUGAUUCCAUAUAUUGCAAUUUUGGAUCCUUCAUGUACGGUCCCUAUAAUUAUUUUUGAAUAACAUAAUUAGAACCAUAUUUCAUAUUUGAUUGAAGGAAACUUCAAAAAAAAAAAAAAAAUUAUACCAUUGGAUUGGAAUGAUUCAACGGUUUAGAUUAGUAGUCUAGGUUAUCCUCACCAUUGGCUCCCAUUGGUCGAACCCAUUGGAAGUAACACCACAUCUUCUUGAUAUAUGGAGUCAUCCUAUAGAUUCCACUAUGCUAAUCCAUUCAUCUCUUACCUCAACCCACCACAAGUCUCUCUCAUAUGUCGUAAUCCAUAUCAAGCCACCACAAUCCUAUCCUAAUUCUGUUCCAAUCAACACGAGUUAGAUUAGAGCAUUAUCUUAAGCAGGUAAUCGACAUCUAGACAAUUGAUCUUUUUCUUCCAUCUCUCUGAUCUUUCUAAUACACCUCAAGACUCAUAUAUCCACUAAGAUUUGAAGCAUUACCUUUUUCAAAGAUAACCAAUAGUUUCAAUUUGUAGAUAUAAACAAAGAUCUAGCUCUCGUAGAUUUAUCAGUUUAGUCUUCCCUAAUUACCUCAUCAGAUAGGUUUGUCAAUUAGCUAGGAUUGCAUGUUCUUAAUACGUUUUUAUCUUUAUUCUAAAGAUAUAUAUUUGGUUAACUUUCACAGCUACCAACUCUGAUGGAAUCAAAGAAGCAGUCAACACAGCUCAACCAGCCACAACAACCGCCAGAUCAAUUAGCGGUUAGCACAGCUCAGCCAGCUACAUCAAUAAGCACUCAAGGAAGCUCAACCUCGGGAGUAACUAAUGUAUACAAGCUAAGCAAAGCCGAGCUCAAACGCUACCAAUUGACACGCAUUGAGGAACCAGAAGAACACAUCGACCCAGACUACUUGCGUUAAUUGAAAGCAAUAGGUGCGUACGACUCAUCUCAACCGCAGUCAGAACGAGGAAAGGAUCAGGGUCGUGAACACAUCGACCCAGACUACUUGCAUUAUUUGAGAGCAAUUGGUGCGUACGACUCAAUUCAGCAACAGCCAAAACGAGGAAAUGGUUGUGGUCGUGAGGGUUGACGCUAACACAUCUACCUAAUAUUCCUAAUGUUGUGAUAUUUGUAUCACCACUGCUUCGUAAUGUUUUAUUUGCUUCAGUAUGCUAUUUUGCUUGGUAUGGAUAAUUUGAUUCUCUAUGUUUGAUUUGCUUCAGCACAACAUUUUUUUUGCUUGGUAUGUUGUAUUUCCUUUGUCUGUUAUAUUUGCUUGGUAUGUUUUGAUUCACUAAUGUUGACGCAGCAAUCCAACCAACAAAUGUUUUAUUAUUCAAUAAGAUACACAUAUAAAAAAAUUUUUUUUUUGUGCAAAGUCCAUCGUUCUCUCAUGAAUGUAGCUAACGUAUGAUCUUUUUGGUAAGUAACAUGUGUCUGGAUCCUCUUCCGAAGGUUGUAAUCACAGUGACAGUUACGUUUUUUUUAUGAUGUCAUUGUAUAAAUGAAAAUGUUGUUUGGUAUGAGAUUAUCUUUUCAGUUGUUUCUAUUACUACUCUUUUUGUUCCACCAUUGUUGAGAUGAAUUUAUUGUUGUUAGAAAGAGAACAUAUUGUUGCUAGAUUCCUGGCUUUGUUAUAAAGAAGCAGUAUGAAGAGGUGCAGAAUCUUGGCUUUGGUCGAUUCUAUACAGUAUGUGUUUGCUGCCAAAUCCCGAGUCAAAACUCUACACAGUCAAAGCAGUUGUACUUGGAGCAACAUAUAAACCCUCGAUGCGAGGAAUAAGAAGAAGUCAUGGCUGAGACUUGAUAUAUUCCUAAAUUAUUUAUGAUUACUUAAGCUAUUCUUUUUGUUUUUAAACAACCCAAUAUACUUGAUUUUUUAGAGUUUUGAAAAAUACGACUCUUUCAUUCCAAACAAUAGGAUUCUUAAUUAUCUGCACUUUUCAUUUUUGGAUAGUUAAAACUACAUCAAGUAUAGCUAUUUUUUUAUAAUGCUAUGAAGACUUUGUUUUUGCUUUAUUUAAAAAUUUGGUUUUAGAUUUUUAUAAUUUAUAUCAUCUAAACAAAAUUAGUAUUUCUAUGGUAUCAAUUUAUUUUAAUAUGUGAUUCCAUAUAUUGCAAUUUUGGAUCCUUCAUGUACGGUCCCUACAAUUAUUUUUGAAUAACAUAAUUAGAACCAUAUUUCAUAUUUGAUUGAAGGAAACUUCAAAAAAAAAAAAAAAAUUAUACCAUUGGAUUGGAAUGAUUCAACGGUUUAGAUUAGUAGUCUAGGUUAUCCUCACCAUUGGCUCCCAUUGGUCGAACCCAUUGGAAGUAACACCACAUCUUCUUGAUAUAUGGAGUCAUCCUAUAGAUUCCACUAUGCUAAUCCAUUCAUCUCUUACCUCAACCCACCACAAGUCUCUCUCAUAUGUCGUAAUCCAUAUCAAGCCACCACAAUCCUAUCCUAAUUCUGUUCCAAUCAACACGAGUUAGAUUAGAGCAUUAUCUUAAGCAGGUAAUCGACAUCUAGACAAUUGAUCUUUUUCUUCCAUCUCUCUGAUCUUUCUAAUACACCUCAAGACUCAUAUAUCCACUAAGAUUUGAAGCAUUACCUUUUUCAAAGAUAACCAAUAGUUUCAAUUUGUAGAUAUAAACAAAGAUCUAGCUCUCGUAGAUUUAUCAGUUUAGUCUUCCCUAAUUACCUCAUCAGAUAGGUUUGUCAAUUAGCUAGGAUUGCAUGUUCUUAAUACGUUUUUAUCUUUAUUCUAAAGAUCUAUAUUUGGUUAACUUUCACAGCUACCAACUCUGAUGGAAUCAAAGAAGCAGUCAACACAGCUCAACCAGCCACAACAACCGCCAGAUCAAUUAGCGGUUAGCACAGCUCAGCCAGCUACAUCAAUAAGCACUCAAGGAAGCUCAACCUCGGGAGUAACUAAUGUAUACAAGCUAAGCAAAGCCGAGCUCAGACGCUACCAAUUGACACGCAUUGAGGAACCAGAAGAACACAUCGACCCAGACUACUUGCGUUAUUUGAAAGCAAUAGGUGCGUACGACUCAUCUCAACCGCAGUCAGAACGAGGAAAGGAUCAGGGUCGUGAACACAUCGACCCAGACUACUUGCAUUAUUUGAGAGCAAUUGGUGCGUACGACUCAAUUCAGCAACAGCCAAAACGAGGAAAUGGUUGUGGUCGUGAGGGUUGACGCUAACACAUCUACCUAAUAUUCCUAAUGUUGUGAUAUUUGUAUCACCACUGCUUCGUAAUGUUUUAUUUGCUUCAGUAUGCUAUUUUGCUUGGUAUGGAUAAUUUGAUUCUCUAUGUUUGAUUUGCUUCAGCACAACAUUUUUUUUGCUUGGUAUGUUGUAUUUCCUUUGUCUGUUAUAUUUGCUUGGUAUGUUUUGA